UUCAUGUCACAGUUACAUGAAUAAAACAUUUAUGUUCUUUAUUGCUGUUAUAUUUUCAGAUAAACUGAUUGUUUGAAAAGAAAAUGAUGUGCUGUGGUGUUCCCUCAUUGUGAAUCAGGUUAAAGAGCCCCAGACCUGCAGGAAACACUCAUUCACACAUGCAUACAGAGAAAUAUGAAAUAAAAAGCUGCACAUGCGUCUCAUGAGAGCAGCUGCAGGUUAAACAGUGGCUCCUCUCAGUCAGUGAUCUCCAUGGUGUCAGCAGAUCUCAUUACACAGACAGGACAGAGACUUUCCAUACCCACAAUUAAUGCAGCGUGGACCUCUGAGAGCAAUCCCAAAAUGCACUGCACUUUUUAUUCCUUGUCAGAUCAAAUGCACACUUACAACACACGUUUUUUUUUUUUAUUAUUAGAUUUAUAUAGUUUCUGAAGAAAAUGUUUUUCUUGUGAAAUAUGAGUUGAUUAUUGAUGUCUAUUAACCCAAGUCCAAGAAAUUCACAUCAAAGUCUAUACAUUAAUACAGUUCCAUUCAGUUAAAGUGUAACACUUACUGUAAUGUCUAGAGUAAUAAUCAACCACCACUAACUAGCAAAAUAAAAUACAAAAUUAUAAAAACAUGAGCCUCUCUUGGAAAAUCUCAGCAAGGCCUGAAAAUGAGCAUUUUAGAAGCUCGUUGUACAGUAUUACAGGAAACGCUCUGCACUUCACAGAAUGAGAGAUCUUCUAGAAAGCUCUCCAGAUAAUUCUCCAUCCCCUCACAAGUGCUUACCGGCUCUAUUUCUGCCUGGUAAGUACCCUAGAGAGAGUGUGCAAGGGUCUCUGCGGUAUAUUGCUCUGUCAAUAUGCCUAAUUUGCAGGUACACACGACUGGGAUGAAGUCGCUGACAAACACAGGGAAGAAAUGACGACUUUGUCAUCAUUUAUUGUCACCUUUUUCCUUCUAGGAUUCUCUUGUUCUUUACGGAGCGAGAGUUGUGUGGGUAAGUGUUGUGAGAUGGGACUCGUUUAGAGACAGGUUGUCAAUAUAUCAGUGUGUGAGUGUGCGUUUGCGUCUUCAGCAGGUAACGUCAGUUUGUCGGUGUCUGUCAGCAAGAACUCGACUCUGCUGGUUGACUGGAACAGCGGGAGCAAACAGACGACCCAAUGUGCUCUGCUCGUCUCAACCGAAGGAAGACAGGAGAUCCAGAUACACCUUUUACCAUGGUUAAAUCUCCAUGUACAGUUCAGUCUUUGACAGAGGCUGUGAAAAGUGUUUCAAGAUCUUCAAUAAGUGCUUUUUUUUCCAGGUCUGGAUCGCUCCAGCUGGAAAACAUGACAGACAAUGGCAAACACUACUUCUUAUGUACUUGUUUUGAACAAUCGCAGGGACUCUUGUGCUCCAAGAACAUAAGUUUUGUUAUGGGCCCUGUCUCUGCACCGCCUCUGGUCCUGAUGUCAGAUACUCAGAGCUCUGCCAGUUACAUCAGCAUGAGAUGGUUGAGCAGCGGUGUGUUUGGAACGACUUUAGCAACAUUUGUCAUUAUUCUAGUCUACAUUAUAUACAGAAGAUGGACGGGGAACGGUGUCUUCCAACUGCGUCUGAGAUAAAGAAAGACUCGCCUGGGAAUUUAAAGGAGUAGUUAACCCAAAUAUUAAAAUGUGCUGAAAAUGUAUUUACUCUCAGACCAUCCAAGAUGUAAAUGAGUUUGUUUAUGGGAACAGAUUUAGAGAAAUGUAGCAUUGCAUCACUUGCUCACCAAUGGAUCCUCUUUAGUGAAUGGGUGCCGUCAGAAUGAGAGUCUAAACAGCUGAUAAAAACAUCAUAAUAAUCCACAAGUAACCUACUCCACUCCAGUCCAUCAGAUAAUAUACAGUGAAGUGAAAAGCUGUGUGUUUAUAAGAAAUCCAUCGUUAAGAUGUUUAACUUUAAACUGUUGCUUCCAGCUAAACUAUA
Carassius carassius (crucian carp) is the source of this 1935-nucleotide long non-coding RNA. RefSeq lists it as uncharacterized. NCBI's taxonomy places the organism in Eukaryota, Metazoa, Chordata, Actinopteri, Cypriniformes, Cyprinidae. The transcript has 3 exons. The record is from RefSeq and is a predicted model, not a curated record.